This 424-nucleotide long non-coding RNA is filed under the name Setaria viridis. Its description in RNAcentral is "long non-coding RNA (SVIR_LNC002359)". The record is from RNAcentral. Lineage: Eukaryota; Viridiplantae; Streptophyta; Magnoliopsida; Poales; Poaceae.
CCUUAGUGUUCUCGUCAGAAGAUGGUAGAGCUGCUCUUGAACAGCGCACAAUCCGAGUCAAAUCCGACAGAACAGCAGAGACACGAGAACAGCAUGCGCGCGUCAGUGUUGCAUCAUCACGGCGCGUUGUGCCCAGAGGCAAUACGUCGAGCACCUCGCGUGCACUGCCCACUGCACACGGCGAGACAGGGCUUCAGGGCAUGAAUGGAACUUGACAGAAUGACAGGGAGGGAUGAAGCAGUAAGCGUUCGAGGACGAGGAGAAGCGAGAAGGAGAAGCGAGAGGUCGGGGGCAGUUAACGUACCAGAGAUCGCCGCCAGCGGCACAAGUUUUAUGCGGCGACCGGGCAGGUGGAGACUGGAGAGGCGAGCCACGCCGCCGGUGCUCUGUAAUGUGGAGUGUGGGGACUGGGGAGAGCUUGAGU